UACGAGGGGGGCAAGCGUUGUUCGGAAUUAUUGGGCGUAAAGGGCGCGUAGGCGGUUUGACAAGUCUGAUGUGAAAUCUCUGGGCUCAACCCAGAGUCUGCAUUAGAAACUGUCGGGCUUGAGUAUGGGAGAGGUGAGUGGAAUUUCCGGUGUAGCGGUGAAAUGCGUAGAUAUCGGAAGGAACACCUGUGGCGAAAGCGGCUCACUGGACCAUGACUGACGCUGAGGCGCGAAAGCUAGGGGAGCAAACGGG
RNAcentral lists this ribosomal RNA (253 nucleotides) under uncultured bacterium. Its description in RNAcentral is "partial 16S ribosomal RNA". It matches the Rfam family "Bacterial small subunit ribosomal RNA", at positions 524 to 776 of the family's 1533-position model. The record is from RNAcentral.